GUGGGCUAUGGAGACAUGGCGCCCAAGACUUAUUUGGGGAUGUUCGUGGGCGCCCUCUGUGCGCUGGCUGGCGUGCUCACUAUAGCGUUGCCAGUUCCUGUCAUUGUAUCAAAU
This is a regulatory RNA element of Danaus plexippus plexippus, 114 nucleotides long. It matches the Rfam family "Potassium channel RNA editing signal". From Rfam's summary of the family: This family represents a group of sequences related to the human potassium channel Kv1.1 hairpin element which directs the efficient modification of an adenosine to inosine by an adenosine deaminase acting on RNA (ADAR). The ADAR modification causes an isoleucine/valine recoding event which lies in the ion-conducting pore of the potassium channel. Lineage: Eukaryota; Metazoa; Arthropoda; Insecta; Lepidoptera; Nymphalidae. The record is from Rfam.